GAUGAACGCUAGCGGCAGGCUUAACACAUGCAAGUCGAGGGGCAGCAUGGGACGGAGAUUCGUCGAAGUCCUGAUGGCGACCGGCGCAAGGGUGCGUAACGCGUGAGCAACUUGCCCGCUUCAGGGGGAUAACCGGUGGAAACGCCGACUAAUACCCCAUAGUAUUGAUUUAAGGCAUCUUUUAUCAAUUAAAGAAUUUCGGAAACGGAUAGGCUCGCGUGACAUUAGCUAGAUGGCGGGGUAACGGCCCACCAUGGCUACGAUCAGUAGCCGGUCUGAGAGGAUGAACGGCCACAUUGGGACUGAGAUACGGCCCAGACUCCUACGGGAGGCAGCAGUGGGGAAUAUUGGGCAAUGGGGGAAACCCUGACCCAGCAACGCCGCGUGAAGGAAGAAGGGCCUUCGGGUUGUAAACUUCUUUUACCAGGGACGAAGGACGUGACGGUACCUGGAGAAAAGCGACGGCGUAACUACGUG
Molecule: ribosomal RNA, 477 nt
Filed under: uncultured bacterium
Lineage: Bacteria
Description: bacterial SSU rRNA
Rfam family: Bacterial small subunit ribosomal RNA
Source: RNAcentral